CAAAAAAAAAUACACCACAAACAUAGUGGACACAAGGUUAGACGUGACAUAAAUGUGUCCUAGACAGACCCUUCUUUUCUUAGUGAAACAUCAACUUUCCAAAGACAAUAUUCCAAACUGGACAGUUGAUACAUAGAGCUAUUUUACUUUAACAUUUAAAGUGUGGCUGCAAAUCUGGGAUGCAGGAGGUGAAAAUUCAUUGUCUAAUCUGUUUCUCAGUUUCCUCUUUCAGAAACGAGAGAUUUUUCAAGACCUUGCUCCACUGCUGUGGCACUCCUUUGGCACUGUUGCUGCACUGCUCCAGGAGAUUGUGUCAAUUUACCCUUCACUUUCACCUCCUACUUUGUCGCUAGUUGCAUCAAACCGUGUCUGCAAUGCACUUGCACUUCUUCAGUGUGUUGCUUCACACCCUGAGACCAGGAUCCCGUUCUUGAAUGCUCACAUCCCACUGUACCUGUACCCGUUCCUGAAUACUACCAGCAAGACAAGACCUUUUGAGUACUUGAGGCUUACCAGCUUGGGUGUUAUUGGUGCUCUUGUGAAGGUAAAUUAAAACUAGAUACUUAUGCAAACUAGGAAUGGAUGGUCCAUAUAGAUUUUUGCUUUAAAUGGUGAG
This is a long non-coding RNA of Triticum aestivum (bread wheat), 616 nucleotides long. RefSeq lists it as uncharacterized. The transcript is spliced from 4 exons. The record is from RefSeq and is a predicted model, not a curated record. NCBI's taxonomy places the organism in Eukaryota, Viridiplantae, Streptophyta, Magnoliopsida, Poales, Poaceae.